RNAcentral lists this unclassified non-coding RNA (253 nucleotides) under uncultured Xylariales. RNAcentral describes it as "sequence contains 5.8S rRNA gene, ITS2, 28S rRNA gene". The record is from RNAcentral. Lineage: Eukaryota; Fungi; Ascomycota; Sordariomycetes; Xylariales.
AACGCAUAUUGCGCCCAUUAGUAUUCUAGUGGGCAUGCCUAUUCGAGCGUCAUUUCGACCCUUAAGCCCUUGUUGCUUAGCGUUGGGAGUCUACGUUUGCAGCGUAGUUCCUUAAAGUUAGUGGCGGAGUUAGGGCGUACUCUAAGCGUAGUAAUUUGUUCCUCGCUUCUGUAGUAGUCUUGGCUGCCGGCCGUAAAACCCCUAUAUCUUAGUGGUUGACCUCGGAUCAGGUAGGAAUACCCGCUGAACUUAA